Aquila chrysaetos chrysaetos is the source of this 2712-nucleotide long non-coding RNA. RefSeq lists it as uncharacterized. The record is from RefSeq and is a predicted model, not a curated record. The transcript has 2 exons. Lineage: Eukaryota; Metazoa; Chordata; Aves; Accipitriformes; Accipitridae.
GCGCGCGCACGCCGGAAGCCGUCAGCGCCGGCCGCCGCCCAAUCAGCGCGGCGACGCCCCCCCUCCACCGCCCCCCCCCGCCCGCCCCCGUUGCCAUGGCGGCGGCGGCGGCCCCGCUCCCCCGCCGCCUUCCCCCGUCCGCCACAGGCCGCCCCGCUCCCCGGGCCCGCCGCCGGGGCUCUCCCGGACAGGAGAGCGGCCCGGAAACCGAGCCAAAUGACCGGAUUUAUUUUUUUUUCUUGUCGCGUUUCGCCGAUGCCGAGACGGGGACAGUGCCUCGGGGGGGGGUCACCGAGCUCUCCUCGGCUGCUUGUGCAGACAGACAGACAGACAGAGACUUCCUCUACCGCCGCAGGAGCGCAUGCAGGAGGUGCUCGGGGCAGCCGUGGCAGGGAGCCGGGCAGGAGCAGGGUCCCCCGCCGCCCGAGGGGAGCAGGCCGCAGGCCCGGGGGCUGCUCGCCCGUCUCCCUCCGGGGCGAGGGGCUGCCCGCCCGCUCCUCUCACACCUUCCCCUCCCCGGCAGCCUGCGCCGCAGCGGGUCUGUCUGCCAGCUCCCCUCGCACAGAACAAAAUUAGGCAGCUGUUGAGUAUUUAUCAUUAAUACCGUGUUACUUCACAGCUCGACGUCCCAGAAGAGCUUUUACUCUCCCCAAGAGGUUUUGCCCAGGUCUGCUUGGCAAACAGUUUGCAUUUGUCUGGUGGACUCAAAAUAAAGGAAAGAAUAGUAUGAUCUCCUGGCUUGUCUCUGACAGCCCGGUAUGUUUUCCUUGCGUUGCCCGAAAUUCCACUGACUUCCACGAGACUCGAGAAGCCGGGAACAAACCUACCCUUCUUACUUCUGUGCCGUGAGCUGUGUCAAUCCACUAUGAAUAACGGCCUGUUACAAUCAGGCAUAGCAGAAAUAAGUGCAAGGGUUUUUGUAUAGUUACAUGAGUUACGUACAAAUAAUGGUGGUUGUAAUGUUUUUUUUCAGCCUUGAAUUUUACAGACUAGUGGAACAAUCAGAAAUUUUAAAAACACCAGAAUAUAGGCCAUAAUAUUUGACUUUUUUUUUUCUUUUCACUUUAAUCACAUCCAGAUAUUGAGAAUGAGGAGAAGACAGGGCAUUACCUAAUAGGAUGAAGAGGCUAUGCAAACAAACAUGGACUAAUCCAGUGCCAUGCAGCUAAGAUAGAAGGACGUCCUGGUCACUGUGGAACAGUAGCAGCUUUACCUGGGGAGAAAUCAGAGCUGCUUCAUCAGUGCCAUUUUCAUGCUGUGGUUGGUCUCAGGAAAAGGAUUGCAUUGAUGAAUUAGUGCUACAACCCUCCCAGCCAUGGAAGAAUACAUCUUACAAGAAAAUUCAUAGGUGACUAAUAGGCUAGAUUGGUCAUCCCUCACCCACAGUGGUAAGCAGACUUCUGAGAUGUGGGAGAAAUGUUUUGGUAUACCUGGAAAUCAGUCAAGAUUAAAAUUAAAUUAAGCAUCUAAACACAGAAUUUGGAAUUUAACAUGCUGUGCCUUGUGAACAAAAACAAAAAAGAAAAAUUAAUUUCCACUGUGGAUAUUUUAGUCUUGAAUCAUGCUUUUUUACUACAUUUCAGCAAUGUCCUGUAUCUUAAUACCUUUGCUUUCAUGUUAGUUUGUUUUUAAAGUUUGUCGGUCAUUACGCAAUGUCAUUUAGAAUCAACUUAGCACCUUUCGUUGUGUUGAGUAGUUCCAGUGAAUAAUGAUUGCGGGAUUAGCCUGCUAGUAAUUAAAUGUUGUUGCCUUUUAGCUUGAAAAUGAAACACCUCUAUGGAAUUUAAGAGUUUCUUGCUUUAUUUAGGUUGUGUGUCUAAAUAGUAUGGAUAGGCAUACCAGGUCAGUGCAGACACAAUGCAAUCUUAAAAAAAAAUAAAAAUUAACAAAAGCAAAAAGAAAAGAGAGAGGGAGGGAGGAAGAAGAGAGCAAGAAAGUGAGAGAAGGAGAACAAAUUCACCCAAUCAUUAAAACUUUGAAUAGCAUGGAAAAUUUUCCACACUUAGCUGAAUCCUGAGUGUAAUUUCCUAAUUUUGCCGUUGUAUGAUCCAAAUAAAGGGUUCAUGUCUGUACUCAUUUUCACUCACAGAUGGGUCUUCAAAAUUUGCAGGUGAUAAGUUGUGUAAAAUAGGAUGUAUUACCUAUUUGUUGAAGCCUAUAGGUGUACCUAUUUCAAUAAAGCAGAAGCUAGAUUCCUUACCAUUUGUGGACUAAAGAACCUGCUGAAUGCUUGCUUCCAUAUUGGCUUUACUACUGUGCAGAGUUUUACCACUUGAAUUCACUGAUUAAUGUUUUAAGCAGAAUGAAACCUUUAUAAAUUUUAUUUUUUCAAAACAUGCUGCCAAAAAUCACAGUAUUUCACCAUUCAAAGACAGUUCUUUGCUUCUUCAAAGACUUUAUUAAACUGAUCUGUACCAUCCUCCUCACAGGACUGUAGUGGUGUACCCUCGUAUGAUACAAAUUAUAAGCUUCUGUCUGAAAUAACAGGGAUGAUACCUAAUCCUGAACUGACAGCUGAAGGAUUUUAAAUAAAGGUUAUCAAUGACAGUUCUGUAAGCUAGCCUCAGUUCUGUCUGUCCUGUGCUAGGAUGAAGAUGAAGGCAUUUGACUCUCUUAACAAGAGAGAGGCUCUAAAAGCCUGAGCUUUUAUCCUUGAGCUUUUGUUACAUUUAAGGAUUCAUGCUGAAUAACAAUAAUAAAAGAUUAAUCCCA